Octopus sinensis (East Asian common octopus) is the source of this 350-nucleotide long non-coding RNA. RefSeq lists it as uncharacterized. The transcript is spliced from 3 exons. Lineage: Eukaryota; Metazoa; Mollusca; Cephalopoda; Octopoda; Octopodidae. The record is from RefSeq and is a predicted model, not a curated record.
UUCUUCCUAAUAGAAUAAAUAAAAUAGAUAUCCAUAAAGUAUAGAGGAGAUGUGGACAUGGGGUUCACUUGAAUCAACCCUAAUCCUACAAAAUAAGGAGCUCAUCAAAAUAAAUAUCAAUUAAAACAGAUAUGCUCGUAUAUUUAAUAUUGUAUGUUCCAUCAGUAAAGUAGCAUUUAACAUGUUAUUAAUGUUUAAAUGAUGGCUCAUUUCUGGGACACACCAGGUCUAUAUUUCACUAAACACAUUGUUGUUUAGCCCUAGGUUAACUAGACAUAUGAUCAAAAGAGUACUAACCAUGACCAUCCUUUCAUGGGAAGUUGGGUGUGUAUAGUGGAUAGAAAUGGGAA